Molecule: long non-coding RNA, 1747 nt
Filed under: Homo sapiens (human)
Lineage: Eukaryota; Metazoa; Chordata; Mammalia; Primates; Hominidae
Description: non-protein coding lnc-RAB23-53:29
Source: RNAcentral
GAGGGUCAAGGAAACAGGCUGUGAUGGUUAAUAUUGAGUGUCAACUUGAUUGGAUUGAAGGAUGCAAAGGAUUGUUCCUGGGUGUAUAUGUGAGAGUGUGGCCAAAGGAGAUUAACAUUUUAGUCAGUGGACUGGGAGAGGCACACCCACCCUCAAUCUGGGUGGGCAUCAUCUAAUCAGCUGCCACAGCAGCUAAAAUAAAGCAGGCAGAAGUUGGAAUGAGCAGACUUGCUGAGUGUUCCAGCCUUCAUCUUUCUCCCAUGCUGGAUGCUUCCUGCCCUCGAACAUCAGACUCCAAGUUCUUCAGCUUUUUUUUUUUUUUUUGGACUCUUGGACUUACAGCAUUGGUUUGCCAGGGGCUCCCAGGCCUCUAGCCGCAGACUGAAGGCUGCACUGUGAGCCUCCCUACCUUUGAAGUUUGGGACUCAGACUGGCUUCUUGGCUCCUCAGCUUGCAGUCGGCCUAUUGUGAGACUUCCCCUUGUGAUCAUACCAGAUUACAGAGGGGUAUUGAUUUGCCUUGCCCCCGCCCCCACCAUCACAGUGUGUCCCUGUCCAGUGUUGGUGCUGUGUGGCAUUGCUUGUGUCCAUAGGAGUCCAUCAAGGCAGAGCGGCAGAGCGGCAAGCAGAGCGGCAAGGCAGUUCAACCCAAUGGAAAUGGAUUGAAAGAGUGAAAGUCACUGGUCUCAAAGAAUCUACGGAAUUUAGCAUUUUGAAAAUCACAGAGCAAUUUUGGGUAGGUAUUCACAUGCACUAAAAAACCAGGCAAACAUCUGACUCCCAGGAUAAAGUGACUGAGAGCAGUAGAAGACUUGUUGAGCCUUAAGGAAUAAGAGGAAAAUUAUGUUAUGAAGUGCAGGAACAGCACAGACCCAGACGAGGGGAUGCAGCCCGGAGCCAGUAACCCGGCGCCUCCUCCUCCCCAGGGCGCAGCGCUGGCUGCUCCCCGGAUACCGUGAUCACACGUCCCAGGUCCUGAGAGCGCCUCAUAGGUAGACAGUUCUUUGGGACUUUUGGGACGCAGCACUUGAAGAGAGGUUUACCUAAACUUUCCUCCUGGGAGCCUGUCAUCAUUUGAAAGUAACAGAAGAAAGCUGUCAGGCUGAGGAAAGUUUCAACAGGCACUUGGUGAGAAUGGGAAGCAUCCAUUCAUUGGGAAAUCACGGGGACAGAGGAGGAAUUCACGGGAUCAGAGCACUGAGAAACUCCAGAGGCUUCUGGUUCACCGCCCUGAUUCCACAGAUGUGGGUCAGAGGCAGAGAUGGAAGUUGGAAUGGACAAGCCUGCCCUCUCCUCAGCUCUCCAUGGCUCUGUCCUCAGGCUGUUUCUGCAAUUUGACAUGAGGCCUGGCCCCAGGGAAACCAGUGGGGCCUCAUCUCCUCCCUGUGCUGCUCUGAGGUGGAGCCUUCUCAGGGUCAGUCCAGCUCUGGAGCCCCUCUCCAGCUCGGUCACCAAAGCUGUCUGGUCCCAGGGCAGUGUGGAGUGACAGGCACGCCAGCCAAUCCAAUCGGCCAUUUCAUACCCAAUGCAUGUGACUGAUAAAGAGAUAACACCCUGUCUCCAAGACACAGGCUUUACAUAAACAGCUUUAAUGACUUCUUCACUUAGGGACAAGACUCCUUAGUGGUGGAACCUCAGGCAUCCAUGCAGGAUGUAAGAAAGCUCCCGUAUAUACAUGAACUGAGAAGUGUGUAGAAGAGUAAAUACUGUAAUAGGUAAUAAAAUGUAUGUAUUUUUAUUUAUGUGCU